GCCAUAGUCUGAUCGAGAAUUGUCCCUUGAGUUAGAAGAUGGAGGAGGGACCUGAAAAAAGUGGUCUCUCGACAGCAAGGGCGGGGGAGGGCCUCGUCGCCCUCUCCUCGGUGUCUCCAGCGCCUAGUGAGUGGUCUUUUGAAUGACUGAAGGGUUGGUGAGGCAAGGUUUAUUGGGGGACACUUGUCCAUCUCUUCUUGAUCGCUGGACGAGGCUUGACCUGGGCUGAAAGAAAUGCAGUAAGGAGGCACUUUCUCAGCUUCCUGGGAACUGGGACCCUGGAACCCAGUAAAGACUGUUAUUCCAGACUUAGGAAUGGCCUGAGCAUAAGCCUGAAGGCGUGGAGCUGGUCUCGAGGCUUACCCUUCCGCUUCACCAAAAACACCUUCUCCAAGAGCCAGAGUGAUCAUUUGAAAAGAUCUGAACUUCAGAGGGUCAUUCUGGCCUUGAAAAGAAACCAAGAUAAAAGGAAACAGCUCUCAGGAAUUAUAAAUCAAAUAGAACCUGAGACUCAUUGCCCCGUUUUUCAUCCCUUUAGUCAUCCAGACUUGAACUGAGGGGCAUUGCUGGCUUGAAAAUGAUCCAAGAACAAAAGAAACACCUCUCAAAGGUCAUCCACCAAACAAACAAAAACUGAGAAACACUCUCUGUUGUUUUCUCCUCAGGAGUGAAUCUGGGCUCUAACUUCGGAUUUUCACUAAAGCUAUUACCUAGGGAGCUACUGAAGAAGGUACAGACAAUUGGAAUCAAGAAAUUUGAGUCGGGCUUCCCUGGUGGCGCAGUGGUUGAGAGUCCGCCUGCCGAUGCAGGGGACGCGGGUUCGUGCCCUGGUCUGGGAAGAUCCCACAUGCCGUGGAGUG
Molecule: long non-coding RNA, 860 nt
Organism: Aethalodelphis obliquidens (Pacific white-sided dolphin)
Lineage: Eukaryota; Metazoa; Chordata; Mammalia; Artiodactyla; Delphinidae
Exons: 4
Source: RefSeq, a predicted model, not a curated record